This is a small nucleolar RNA of Plasmodium relictum, 109 nucleotides long. RefSeq annotates it as small nucleolar RNA snoR07. The transcript has a single exon. Lineage: Eukaryota; Apicomplexa; Aconoidasida; Haemosporida; Plasmodiidae. The record is from RefSeq and is a predicted model, not a curated record.
UAAUUCUUAAAAUGAUGAAUAACUUUUAGCGAUGGGCGGACUGAAAAAAGUCAAAGCUUUUGUUUGUAGAAAAUCGCACAAACUGAUAAGAAUUAAUUUUUUUUUUAAA